UGCGCGGUAGAGAAGUGGUCAUCUCGCUUGGCUCAUAACCAAGAGACCGUCGGUUCGAAUCCGGCCGGCGCAACCA
This 76-nucleotide transfer RNA is filed under the name Delftia acidovorans. Its description in RNAcentral is "tRNA-Met". It matches the Rfam family "tRNA". From Rfam's summary of the family: Transfer RNA (tRNA) molecules are approximately 80 nucleotides in length. Their secondary structure includes four short double-helical elements and three loops (D, anti-codon, and T loops). Lineage: Bacteria; Pseudomonadati; Pseudomonadota; Betaproteobacteria; Burkholderiales; Comamonadaceae. The record is from RNAcentral.